UAUUGCACUUGUCCCGGUCUUA
RNAcentral lists this microRNA (22 nucleotides) under Ciona intestinalis (vase tunicate). Its description in RNAcentral is "Cin-Mir-92-o72_3p (mature (guide))". The record is from RNAcentral. Lineage: Eukaryota; Metazoa; Chordata; Ascidiacea; Phlebobranchia; Cionidae.